AUUGCCCCUCCCACCCCCUCAUUGGCUCCUCCCCCCCAAACCCAAGGUGCUGGAUGUGGCUCACAACGAGCUGAGGAGCCUCGAGGGGUUCCCGGUGCUGCCCCAGCUCAGGGAGGUGGAUUUGGGGGGGAAUCCCAUAAGCCACGCCUCCGCCCUCACCCCAUUGGCCGCCUGCCCCCGGCUGCGCCGCCUCCGAUUGGCCGAGACCCCGCUGGCCAGAGGCUGCCCCGGAUUGGCCGAGCUGCUGCCGGGGGGUGGAGCUGGUGUGGAGCUGAUUGGCUGCGGCGGCUGUGACGUCACCGGAAGCCCCUCCCCCCCUUAUUUGUCAACCCUCGUGGGGGGUGAAUAAAGUGACGUCAUGAAGGG
This is a long non-coding RNA of Colius striatus (speckled mousebird), 366 nucleotides long. RefSeq lists it as uncharacterized. The record is from RefSeq and is a predicted model, not a curated record. NCBI's taxonomy places the organism in Eukaryota, Metazoa, Chordata, Aves, Coliiformes, Coliidae. The transcript is spliced from 2 exons.